Molecule: transfer RNA, 111 nt
Filed under: Salmo salar (Atlantic salmon)
Lineage: Eukaryota; Metazoa; Chordata; Actinopteri; Salmoniformes; Salmonidae
Rfam family: tRNA
About the family: Transfer RNA (tRNA) molecules are approximately 80 nucleotides in length. Their secondary structure includes four short double-helical elements and three loops (D, anti-codon, and T loops).
Source: Rfam by way of RNAcentral
GUCAGGAUGGCCGAGCGAUCGAAGGCGCCAGACUGAAGGUGAAAAUCAUUCCUGAAAAAGGGGUAUUCUGGUCUCUGAAUGGAGGCGUGGGUUUGAAUCCCGCUUCUGAUA